UGACGGUAUCUAACCAGCAAGUCACGGCUAACUACGUGCCAGCAGCCGCGGUAAUACGUAGGUGGCAAGCGUUACCCGGAUUUAUUGGGCGUAAAGGGAACGCAGGCGGUUUUUUAAGUCUGAUGUGAAAGCCUUCGGCUUAACCGGAGAAUAGCAUUGGAAACUGGAAGACUUGAGUGCAGAAGAGGAGAGUGGAACUCCAUGUGUAGCGGUGAAAUGCGUAGAUAUAUGGAAGAACACCAGUGGCGAAAGCGGCUCUCUGGUCUGUAACUGACGCUGAGGUUCGAAAGCGUGGGUAGCAAACAGGAUUAGAUACCCUG
Molecule: ribosomal RNA, 320 nt
Filed under: uncultured bacterium
Lineage: Bacteria
Description: bacterial SSU rRNA
Rfam family: Bacterial small subunit ribosomal RNA
Source: RNAcentral